Molecule: non-coding RNA, 219 nt
Organism: Pelobates cultripes (western spadefoot toad)
Lineage: Eukaryota; Metazoa; Chordata; Amphibia; Anura; Pelobatidae
Source: the annotation of a GenBank genome assembly
UUUGGAUUGAUGACAACAUUGCAUGGAGUUCCAGGUUAUUGAGAGAUACGCUCUUUGUGAUUUACACACAUGUAAGUGUGACCAAUAAAUGUGAUUUUGUACUUUUUAUAACAAACUUCACUAUUUUUGUUUUCCUUUAUUUUUAUAUAUCCUAUGAGGUGAUUCUCUAACUUAUCCAUCGGAUUACAUACUGCCCCUGAGUGGGCGAGAAGCCCAGUC